ACUAUGAUCUGAAGUCAAGUGGGACUACCCGGCUGAACUUAAGCAUAUCAAUAAACCGGAGGAAAAGAAAAUAACAAUGAUUUCCCUAGUAACGGCGAGUGAACAGGAAAAAGCUCAAAGUUGGAACCUGUUUGGCCUAGCUAAACCGGAUUGUAAACUGUAGAAGUGUUUUCCAGGCAAGCCGGACCGAUAAGUCCUUUGGAACAGGGCAUCAUAGAGGGUGAGAAUCCCGUCUUCGGUCUGAGCAUUUGCCUUUUGCGAUACACUUUCAAAGAGUCAGGUUGUUUGGGAAUGCAGCCUAAAUUGGGUGGUAAAUCUCACCUAAAGCUAAAUAUUGGCGAGAAACCGAUAGCGAACAAGUACCGUGAGGGAAAGAUGAAAAGAACUUUGAAAAGAGAGUUAAACAGUAUGUGAAAUUGCUAAAAGGGAACCGUUUGGAGCCAGACUGGCUUGUCUGUAAUCAGUCUAAGUUUCGGCUUGGAUGCACUUGCAGGCUAUGCCUGCCAACGACAAUUUGGCUUGAGGGAAAAAACUAGGGGAAAUGUGGCCCAUUCGUGGGUGUUAUAGUCCCUUAGAAAAUACCUUGGGCUGGAUUGAGGUACGCAGCGAAUGCUAUUUGGCGAGUUGGCUGGGAAUAUUUUCUGAGGUGCUCCGGUACUGAGGUUGAUAUUUCCAGUUACACUUCUAUUCGCUUAGGUUGUUGGCUUAAUGACUCUAAAUGACCCGUCUUGAAGCACGGACCAAGGAGUCCACCAUUAGUGCAAGUGUUUGGGUGCCAAACCCAUACGCGUAAGGAAACUGAUUGAUACGAAUCCGCAAGGAGGCAGUAUCGUCCGGCGCUGACGUUUUAUACUGAAUUGACCGAGACAAAGCACUAAUGAUGGGACCCGAAAGAUGGUGAACUAUGCCUGAAUAGGGUGAAGCCAGGGGAAACUCUGGUGGAAGCUCGUAGCGGUUCUGACGUGCCAAAUCGAUCGUCA
RNAcentral lists this ribosomal RNA (980 nucleotides) under uncultured zygomycete. Its description in RNAcentral is "eukaryotic LSU rRNA". It matches the Rfam family "Eukaryotic large subunit ribosomal RNA", at positions 1 to 907 of the family's 3401-position model. Lineage: Eukaryota; Fungi. The record is from RNAcentral.